CCAGCCGCCGACAACGUCUUUCGGCAUGUUUAUCUUUUCAUCGCUUACUUUACGCUCUUAAUUUAGUGGCGGAAAAGUUGGAUCGUGGGAGCUUUUUCUGCCGCUGUUGACGCCGACUGCGCAAGAUUCGAGCCCAUACUAUUAUCUUUUGCGGUGAAUAAAGACGGCGGUAUCGGGAUUUCUUGAAAUGAAGCCCGGAGACAGCCAGCUGGUCGAAGCUGUUCGUAAGCGGGAGGCACUUUGGAAUGUGCGGCAGGCAGCAUAUCACCAGCGCAAGCACAAGCUGCGGCUAUGGGCGGAGGUGGCGGCAGAGACCGGACGAAAUGUUGCUGAUGUAAAGUCAAGAUGGAAGUCCAUCCGGGACUAUUUUAUGAAGUGUCGGCAGGCCCCGCCGAGCGGCUCUGCUGCCAGCUCGACCACCGACGGCGCCACGCAGAGGGAGCUGAGUUUCCUCAAUGAUUCUGUCAAGCCAAAGCCGAGAACCCUGACAUAGAAGAAGAACACUCUGGUGAUCCAUGGCUCGUAUUCUCGGAAGUGGACGACGAGUGGGAGCAGGACUCCGCACCCCGCGCGCCGGCUGGCCCGCAGAGGGCCUCUACACCUCGGGAGCCAUCUGCUGAUCGCCCGCAGCAGGCCUCCGCACCCCGCACGCCGCCUGCUGAUCGCGCGCAGGAGGCCUCUGCUCCUCGGGCGCCGACCGCUGGUCGCCCGCAGCAGGCCUCCGCACCCCGCACGCCGCCUGCUGAUCGCGCGCAGGAGGCCUCUGCUCCUCGGGAGCCGACCGCUGACCGACCAGAGCAGGGCGAAGUCCAGCCCCAGAGGCCUCGCCGGCGUGCCCGUCGGGUGGCUGCCGACGAAGGGACCAGGGAGAUCCUGCAGCGGGCGAUUGAGCAGGUGCAGCAAGCCGUCGAGAGGCUAGAGGACGAUGAUGCCAUCUUUGGACAUUUGGUGGGUCAGGAUAUCAGGCAAGUGGCAACUAGAAAGAAGUCCCUUCUUAAAAUCCAAAUCAUGCAGCUGAUCCACGCUGCGGCAUAUGAGGAAUAAGUUAGUGAUAUCCAGUCCUGCAACAGCUACAGGGCACGGCAUUUGUUUUGCUUUAAAUCAAUGCUGUUUUUAAUGUGUUAUAGAAUCGCUAGGCUUAUGUUUGAUAAUGUUAGCAAGCGCUUUUCUCAGGCUCAUUGUUAAUAAGAUAAUGAUAAGAAUCAGUAGCCUUAUAAUAAAGCUCAAUGUAUUGCCGAAUAUAAUUAAACCAGAAUGAGACGACAGUUUCGGGCGUAGCCCAUUAUCAAGUCUGACAAUUCCGGAUUUGAAAUUUGAAAUUUCAAAUCCGAAGUCUACAUUUGAAAUUUGAAAUUUCAAAUCCGGAAUUGUCAGACUUGAUAAUGGGCUACGCCCGAAACUGUCGUCUCAUUCUGGUUUAAUUAUAUUCGGCAAUACAUUGAACUUUAUUAUAAGGCUACGGCUUUUCAUCAUUAUCUUAGGUUAUAGAAUCGCCGUAAUUAUUUAUUUGCACAUCAAUUUUGUACUCGUGUUGAUUCCAAUUCAUUACCGUUCAAAUUCAUUACACGCAUUGUGGUUGUAUCUGAUCACGAGUGGUUGUAUCUGAUUAUUUUUUGUUGCAUAUUUCGUCACAGCGGCCAGGAGAACCGUGCUGAACGUGUGUUUGUAAUUGAAAUAUUCGCUGCCGGUGUUGGCUGGCGCCUGCAGGACGACAUGUUUUCCAUCGAGAGCUGCCACACAGUUUGGGAAGUUCCAACGGUCUCGGAAGGUGGCCUCGCUCCUCUCCCAGGUGUGGCGAGUAGGGGAGGCCAACACCUCCGGACCGACGGCGGCGAUGAUCGCGGCACACGUGUCGUAGACUAUGGCGCGGACCGUCUUCUCUCCCAGGCGGUACGUGGGAGCCAGAGCCGAAAACUCCAUCCCUGACGCCAGAUACCGAAGGGUAACGGCCAGGCGCUGCGCGGGGUCGAUGGGCUCUCUGAAGUUGGUGUGUUUUCUGGCGAUGGUUGGCCCGAUCUUGCUAAGAAGGAGAUCGAAAGUGUCGCGGGUCAUCCGGAAGUAGGUGCGGUGCCGCUCAGGGUCGUUGGUACGCAACUCUUGUACGAGGUUGAAGAAUUCCCCCCGAGCUCGGCGGCGGCGGUUCACGUCAGCGACCCAGCUCUUGUGCCGACGUUUCGGACGGCACUCCUCGUCAUACUCCAUCAUUAAUAGCUCGGCUUGGGCCAAACUUAAGCCGACGUCCAUUCUCGAUAUAUAAAGUAUAGAAGCAAUAACAAGAAGAUAUAUAAAGUAUAAAAGCAAUAACAAGAAAAGGUACUACCUGAGAUGUUUUGUUUACAUUUGUUUUCCUGACGGCGGUAUUUGCUUCGUAACCCAAGAGUAUUAAGAAAAAAUGUCGCGUGCUUAUUUUCGAAGGAUUUUAUUUGUUAAUCUAUUGCAUCAUGGUUAACCUGCUAAAACAUUUUUUUAUACUUUUAUUUUUUAUUUUCCUACAGAAUUACCAUCAUUCUAUGACUUCAGGUGGCUUGCACACCCUAUAAUAACAAAACACUUGAUACUAACAUAAGCGCGUACUUUCAGCACCUCUGCCGAUGCUUUUUGUGCAGUGGACGGCGUCAUUUUAGGAAACGCCGAAAAUUCGCGCUUAUCGACGAUUACGCGCUUACUUUCGGCGGAUGCCAAUGUGCAGUGGACGGCGACCUUAAGCGUAUUAAAAACUGUCUUUAUUUACCGAAAAUCAACAUCUUCA
RNA transcript from Amphibalanus amphitrite, 2749 nucleotides. It is a transcript of the gene named translation initiation factor IF-2-like, with no coding region annotated. The record is from RefSeq and is a predicted model, not a curated record. NCBI's taxonomy places the organism in Eukaryota, Metazoa, Arthropoda, Thecostraca, Balanomorpha, Balanidae. The transcript is spliced from 5 exons.